GAUGAACGCUGGCGGCGUGCCUAAUACAUGCAAGUCGAGCGAACGGACGAGGAGCUUGCUUCUCUGAUGUUAGCGGCGGACGGGUGAGUAACACAUGGAUAACCUACCUAUAAGACUGGGAUAACUUCGGGAAACCGGAGCUAAUACCGGAUAAUAUAUUGAACCGCAUGGUUCAAUAGUGAAAGACGGUCUUGCUGUCACUUAUAGAUGGAUCCGCGCCGCAUUAGCUAGUUGGUAAGGUAACGGCUUACCAAGGCAACGAUGCAUAGCCGACCUGAGAGGGUGAUCGGCCACACUGGAACUGAGACACGGUCCAGACUCCUACGGGAGGCAGCAGUAGGGAAUCUUCCGCAAUGGGCGAAAGCCUGACGGAGCAACGCCGCGUGAGUGAUGAAGGUCUUCGGAUCGUAAAACUCUGUUAUUAGGGAAGAACAAAUGUGUAAGUAACUGUGCACGUCUUGACGGUACCUAAUCAGAAAGCCACGGCUAACUACGUG
Molecule: ribosomal RNA, 497 nt
Filed under: uncultured bacterium
Lineage: Bacteria
Description: partial 16S ribosomal RNA
Rfam family: Bacterial small subunit ribosomal RNA
Source: RNAcentral